This 283-nucleotide signal recognition particle RNA is filed under the name Aotus nancymaae (Ma's night monkey). RNAcentral's name for it is "Metazoan signal recognition particle RNA (ENSANAG00000008291.1)". It matches the Rfam family "Metazoan signal recognition particle RNA". Rfam says of the family: The signal recognition particle (SRP) is a universally conserved ribonucleoprotein. Lineage: Eukaryota; Metazoa; Chordata; Mammalia; Primates; Aotidae. The record is from RNAcentral.
GCCUCCAGGACUCCCAGCUACUCAGGAGGCUGAGGUGGGAGGAUCACUUGAGCCCAGGAGUUCUGGACUGUAAUGCGCUAUGCCGAUCGGGUGUCUGCACUAAGUUCGGCGUCAAUAUGGUGACCUCCCGGGAGCGGGGGACCACCAGGCUGCCUAAGGAGGGGUGAACCAGCCCAGGUCGGAAACGGAGCAGGUCAAAACUCCUGUGCUGAUCAGUAGUGGGAUCACGACUGUGAAUAGCCACUGUGCUCCAGCCUGGGCAACACAGCGAGACUUGGUCUCU